UCCUGGAUACAGAGUGUUGAGUUGAAAUUCAUAGGGCAUUUUAUAAGAGUUCUGACCUAGAUGGGGUAAACCUCAGUGCAUUUCUUUUCUGUUACCUCAGUAUUACUGGAUUGAAGAAUUGCUGCUUGUUGUUAGGAGGUUCAUUUCAUUUGUCAUUACAUACAACUUUAUACUCAAAGCACUGAGAAUUUCAAGUGGAGUGUAUUGAAGUAGACUUCAGUUUCUUUGCAUCAUUUCUGUGUUCAGUUUUUUAAAUUAUUUCAUAAACCUACUGAAUGUUUUUUAACUAAAUUAAUAUGGCUCGAAUGAACCGCCCAGCUCCUGUGGAAGUCACAUACAAGAACAUGAGAUCUCUUAUUACAUGCAAUCCAACCAAUGUGACCUGAAACAAAUUUAUAGAGGAGCUUCAGAAGUAUGGAGUUACCACAAGAGUAAGAGUGUGUGAAGCAACUUAUGGCUCUACUCUUCCAGAGAAAGAAUCCAUGUUUUCAACUGGCCUGUUGAUGAUGGUGCACCACCAUCCAACCAGAUUGUUAAUAACUGACUGGUUAAGUUUUGUAAAAAUUAUGUUUUGUGAAAAACCUUUGUUGUUGUAUUGCUGUUCAUUGCAUUUCAGGCCUUGGGGUAGCUCCAGUACUUGUUGCCCUAGCAUUAAUUGAAGGUGGAAUGAAAGAUGAAGAUGCGGUGCAAUUCACAAGACAAAAGCAGCAUGGAGCUUUUAACAGCAAGCAACUUUUGUAUUUGGAGUACUACCCUAAAAUGCGGCUGCCCUUCAAAGAGUCCAACGGUCAUAGAAACAACUGCUGUAUUCAAUAAAACUGGAGCAUCUAAUGCUAUUGGAAGUGGAACUUGAGAUAGGACCUAAUUUGUUAUACAUAUUAGCCAACAUGUUGGCUUCUGAGUAUGUCUAACGAAGCUUCCAUAGGAAUACUGAAAGACAGUUUUAUCAGGUCACAAGAUAGACAGAUUUGGCAACCUCUGUGUUUGGGUUACAUGCAAUCUAUUUGGACAGUUGGCAAAAGAUUCUUGGUGUCAGCAUAUAAAAUAUUCUUGUCAUUUGUACCAAUUGACCUUUCCGAAAAUUAGGCAGUAUUGAAUUACGACUUGUUUAAAUCUAUUCCCACAUCAGAAUCUUAUGAAUACAUAGAAAUUUAGGAAGAUUAGGUGCCAAAAUACCCAGAACAAUACUUGCAAACUUUUAGUAUCAUACAGAACUAAAAUCCCAGGAACUAU
Non-coding RNA from Callithrix jacchus (white-tufted-ear marmoset), 1233 nucleotides. NCBI's taxonomy places the organism in Eukaryota, Metazoa, Chordata, Mammalia, Primates, Cebidae. The record is from RefSeq and is a predicted model, not a curated record.